GGAAGUAAAAGUCGUAACAAGGUUUCCGUAGGUGAACCUGCGGAAGGAUCAUUACUGAUUUAGCGAACCGAGCGUUAGCGAGGUUUUGCGAUCAACUUGUAUUUAAAACCCACUCUUCAAUGUAUAAAAUUUGUAUUAAUGAUAAAUUAAAGAUCACUUUCAACAACGGAUCUCUUGGCUCUCGCAUCGAUGAAGAACGUAGCGAAGUGCGAUAAGUAAUGUGAAUUGCAGAAUUCCGUGAAUCAUCGAAUCUUUGAACGCAAAUUGCACUCUCUGGUAUUCCGGAGAGUAUGCCUGUUUGAGGGUCAGUUAAAUAAAAAUCGGUGUUGUUGCUGCCUUGCGUGGUGAUGCAUCGGAUUUGGGUCGUCUUACUUUUGGUUAAGUGACCUAAAAUUUUAUAUGAUUUUCGAACGUAUUUAAAUUUAUUUGAACGUUUGAUAUCGAAUGCUUAUUAGGUUCGGUCAUCCUCAUGACUCGCGCCUAUAAUUUUUCAUUAAAUGACCUCAAAUCAGGUAAGAAUACCCGCUGAACUUAAGCAUAUCAAUAAGCGGAGGA
This 555-nucleotide ribosomal RNA is filed under the name uncultured Glomus. Its description in RNAcentral is "eukaryotic LSU rRNA". The stretch from base 155 to 308 matches the Rfam family "5.8S ribosomal RNA". Lineage: Eukaryota; Fungi; Glomeromycota; Glomeromycetes; Glomerales; Glomeraceae. The record is from RNAcentral.